GAUGAACGCUGGCGGCGUGCCUAAUACAUGCAAGUCGAGCGAACAGACGAGGAGCUUGCUCCUCUGACGUUAGCGGCGGACGGGUGAGUAACACGUGGAUAACCUACCUAUAAGACUGGGAUAACUUCGGGAAACCGGAGCUAAUACCGGAUAAUAUAUUGAACCGCAUGGUUCAAUAGUGAAAGACGGUUUUGCUGUCACUUAUAGAUGGAUCCGCGCCGCAUUAGCUAGUUGGUAAGGUAACGGCUUACCAAGGCAACGAUGCGUAGCCGACCUGAGAGGGUGAUCGGCCACACUGGAACUGAGACACGGUCCAGACUCCUACGGGAGGCAGCAGUAGGGAAUCUUCCGCAAUGGGCGAAAGCCUGACGGAGCAACGCCGCGUGAGUGAUGAAGGUCUUCGGAUCGUAAAACUCUGUUAUUAGGGAAGGACAUAUGUGUAAGUAACUAUGCACGUCUUGACGGUACCUAAUCAGAAAGCCACGGCUAACUACGUG
This 497-nucleotide ribosomal RNA is filed under the name uncultured bacterium. RNAcentral describes it as "partial 16S ribosomal RNA". It matches the Rfam family "Bacterial small subunit ribosomal RNA", at positions 28 to 507 of the family's 1533-position model. The record is from RNAcentral.